AUUGAACGCUGGCGGAAUGCUUUACACAUGCAAGUCGAACGGCAGCACGGGAGCAAUCCUGGUGGCGAGUGGCGAACGGGUGAGUAAAGUAUCGGAACGUGCCCAGUCGUGGGGGAUAACGUAGCGAAAGUUACGCUAAUACCGCAUACGAUCUACGGAUGAAAGCGGGGGAUCGCAAGACCUCGCGCGAUUGGAGCGGCUGAUAUCAGAUUAGGUAGUUGGUGGGGUAAAGGCUCACCAAGCCGACGAUCUGUAGCUGGUCUGAGAGGACGACCAGCCACACUGGGACUGAGACACGGCCCAGACUCCUACGGGAGGCAGCAGUGGGGAAUUUUGGACAAUGGGCGCAAGCCUGAUCCAGCCAUGCCGCGUGCAGGAUGAAGGCCUUCGGGUUGUAAACUAGCUUUUGUACGGAACGAAAGGUUAGGCUUAAUAAGCUGGACCCAUGACGGUACCGUAAGAAUAAGCACCGGCUAACUACGUGCCAGCAGCCGC
RNAcentral lists this ribosomal RNA (495 nucleotides) under uncultured bacterium. RNAcentral's name for it is "bacterial SSU rRNA". It matches the Rfam family "Bacterial small subunit ribosomal RNA", at positions 30 to 518 of the family's 1533-position model. The record is from RNAcentral.